UAGGGGCAGAGGGAACUUCCGGUGUAGCGGUGAAAUGCGUAGAUAUCGGGAAGAACACCAGUGGCGAAAGCGCUCUGCUGGACCAUUACUGACGCUCAUGGACGAAAGCCAGGGGAGCGAAAGGGAUAGAUACCCCUGUAGUCCUGGCCGUAAACGAUGAACACUAGAUGUUGGGGGAAUCGACCCCCUCGGUGUCGUAGCUAACGCGUUAAGUGUUCCGCCUGGGGAGUACGCACGCAAGUGUGAAACUCAAAGGAAUUGACGGGGGCCCGCACAAGCGGUGGAGUAUGUGGUUUAAUUCGAUGCAACGCGAAGAACCUUACCAAGGCUUGACAUCCUGCGAAUCUCCGAGAAAUUGGAGAGUGCCUUCGGGAACGCAGUGACAGGUGGUGCAUGGCUGUCGUCAGCUCGUGUCGUGAGAUGUUGGGUUAAGUCCCGCAACGAGCGCAACCCACGUUUUUAGUUGCCAGCAUUCAGUUGGGCACUCUAGAAAGACUGCCGGUGACAAACCGGAGGAAGGUGUGGACGACGUCAAGUCAUCAUGCCCCUUACGCCUUGGGCUACACACGUACUACAAUGCUGCGGACAAAGAGUAGCGAUCUUGCGAAAGUUAGCUAAUCUCGUAAACCGUGGCUCAGUUCAGAUCGUAGGCUGCAACUCGCCUACGUGAAGGAGGAAUCGCUAGUAAUCGCAGGUCAGCAUACUGCGGUGAAUACGUUCCCGGGCCUUGUACACUCCGCCC
Molecule: ribosomal RNA, 742 nt
Filed under: uncultured bacterium
Lineage: Bacteria
Description: bacterial SSU rRNA
Rfam family: Bacterial small subunit ribosomal RNA
Source: RNAcentral